Long non-coding RNA from Macadamia integrifolia, 1324 nucleotides. RefSeq lists it as uncharacterized. The record is from RefSeq and is a predicted model, not a curated record. The transcript has 4 exons. Lineage: Eukaryota; Viridiplantae; Streptophyta; Magnoliopsida; Proteales; Proteaceae.
UAACGAGAGACGUGAAAGCAAGAGGGCCGUGGAAACUGGAAAGUCGUGCAGUAUCUCACCACCGAUCUUCACAGCUUCACUUCAGGGCUGGAGGCUGCCACUAGGGGAAUUUAGUAGUAGAAGUGCCACAAAUAAUUGAUACGGUGGUACCGAUGCAACUGAUGAGAAGAAAGAUUUAAGAGAGGGUGUGGAAGUCGGCGGUGAGAGUUGCAGGGCAGGCUGAAGUGAACAAACAUGUAAGGACUCAUGAGCGCAUCUUAUAUCUGCUUCAGUUUCCUCAAACAUCUAGAAAGAGAUUAAUCCCAACCAGAAUAUCACCCUGCUCACCGAUUACUUUCCGUCACAGUGACAACCAGUUUCAGUGAAGAGCGCUCAGUUUUUGGUUUACCAUAUGUAAACCACGCCAUCGACAAUGUGAUUCCGUCGGCACACCGGACUCGAAUCCCAUGGUGGUCGACCUAGCUCGUCCAAAUCAAAUAGCAAUACAACAAGCCCGUCGUGAACUAAGUAUUCAAGUAAUGCAACAAGAGUUUACUUCAGCUGGUCAUGAAAAUCCUAGGAAGAAAAAGAGAGUAGUUUGAUAAAAGGAAGUGGUGGUGUUCGUGCUGGCAUUCCGGUGGUUGUUAUUCUUCUUUGCGAAGAUGGGAGGGCACAGAAAGCAGAAGCAAGAGGGUUGCUUCAAGGACUGCAAAAAGCAAGAUCAAUGAGAGCCACAACUGUAGCCAUCUGGACUGAUUGUACAGAUCUGAGAGAUUGGCUAACGGACAACUCUGCUUCUAAAUGGCAUCGGGAGUUAUUUCACAAACUGUUGGACACCAAAUCUACUCUUGAGAUUCGUAACCGAGGUGGUUUCAAUUUUAAGUUGUAAUCUCUCUUCUAUUUUCUUUGUGAGAGAGUUGUCAUUUCCAAAGGGGAAGGAGUUAAAAAUGUCAUUUCAUUUAGAAUGUACAGUUAUGACUGAAAGUUAAAACACCAGUUGUCUUAAUAAGGUUAUUCGAAGCAGUUUUCCAGGUGACUUCCAAUGGAACCCAAGAACCUGCCCUGGCGGACAAAUUCACCCUCAAUUAUUCCAUCUCUGAUCAGAGCUAAACCCUCUAUUAUGAUCAGAACCAAAGAAGAAUGGAGACGCAGGAACAGGGCAGUUGCAGAUCAAAACAGAACCGAUGUUGGAUGUUCGAUUUUUAUAUGUUUCAAGGACAUCUCUUAUGUUGUGAGGUCCAGGAGUGGGAGAAACUAGGCAUUGCUGUGCAGUUAAAAGUCUUUGUUCCUAAGCCAUGGAAGUGGCUACCUUGGUGGAAAUCAGUGAGUAUUUUACAAAACAAAG